This 648-nucleotide ribosomal RNA is filed under the name Staphylococcus chromogenes. RNAcentral's name for it is "bacterial SSU rRNA". It matches the Rfam family "Bacterial small subunit ribosomal RNA", at positions 49 to 679 of the family's 1533-position model. Lineage: Bacteria; Bacillati; Bacillota; Bacilli; Caryophanales; Staphylococcaceae. The record is from RNAcentral.
CUAUACUGCAAGUCGAGCGAACUGACGAGGAGCUUGCUCCUUUGACGUUAGCGGCGGACGGGUGAGUAACACGUGGGUAACCUACCUAUAAGACUGGAAUAACUCCGGGAAACCGGGGCUAAUGCCGGAUAACAUAUCGAACCGCAUGGUUCGAUAGUGAAAGACGGUCUUGCUGUCACUUAUAGAUGGACCCGCGCCGUAUUAGCUAGUUGGUGAGGUAACGGCUCACCAAGGCAGCGAUACGUAGCCGACCUGAGAGGGUGAUCGGCCACACUGGAACUGAGACACGGUCCAGACUCCUACGGGAGGCAGCGGUAGGGAAUCUUCCGCAAUGGGCGAAAGCCUGACGGAGCAACGCCGCGUGAGUGAUGAAGGUCUUCGGAUCGUAAAGCUCUGUUGUUAGGGAAGAACAAAUGUGUAAGUAACUGUGCACAUCUUGACGGUACCUAACCAGAAAGCCACGGCUAACUACGUGCCAGCAGCCGCGGUAAUACGUAGGUGGCAAGCGUUAUCCGGAAUUAUUGCGCGUAUGGCGCGCGUAGGCGGAUUUUUAAGUCUGAUGUGAAAGCCCACGGCUCAACCGUGGAGGGUCAUUGUAAACUGGAAAACUUGAGUGCAGAAGAUGAUAGUGUAAAUUCCAUGUGUAGC